UCUUGUGCCUCAGCUAGUGAAAAAGAGACAGGCUUGGAGGAAGAAAGACUUUGCAGGAAAAUUGUCUUUUCUGCUGGAGGUGAAUGGCAUCGCACUGGGACUCAGGAGGAUGGCAGGAGGCCAGUCUGAUGUUCAUUUCAGAUGUGGGCAGCAGAUGGCACGGCAGCGACUCUACUUAAACUAAACGGAUCUCAUUAUCGUUCCAUUUUUCCUGGCACAAGGACAGCGUAAAGAUCUAGAAGUAACUUGGCCACCAACCAUGCUGUCCCACAGAAGGCAUAUGGAGAAUGACCUCUGACCUCUGACCUCUGCUCUGUGAGGACAUUGUAUCUAAGUGUUCAUCUUCAAACCAGAGAAGAACUUCCUCCGACAGACUGCUCUGCUCAGCCUUCAGAACUGUGAGGAUCUCAUUUUUGUUUUCUAAACUGCCCUUUUAUUUUAUUUUAUUUUUUUAUUUCGCCGUUAGUCCAAACCAUCGCUGUCAAGUUGACAAUUUAUUUUAUUUUUCUUUCUUCAUAAAAUGUAAGUACUGACAAGACCAUAGGAUAAGACGGGUAGAUUUCUAGUUGCCUAAGGGGGCCCCAAAUCACUGGAACACCUGA
Erinaceus europaeus (western European hedgehog) is the source of this 602-nucleotide long non-coding RNA. RefSeq lists it as uncharacterized. The transcript is spliced from 4 exons. NCBI's taxonomy places the organism in Eukaryota, Metazoa, Chordata, Mammalia, Eulipotyphla, Erinaceidae. The record is from RefSeq and is a predicted model, not a curated record.